AACGAACGCUGGCGGCAGGCCUAACACAUGCCAGUCGAGCGAGGACUUCGGUUCUAGCGGCGGACGGGUGAGUAACGCGUGGGAAUGUGCCCUUCUCUACGGAAUAGCCCUGGGAAACUGGGAGUAAUACCGUAUACGCCCUAUUGGGGAAAGAUUUAUCGGAGAAGGAUCAGCCCGCGUUGGAUUAGGUAGUUGGUGGGGUAAUGGCCUACCAAGCCGACGAUCCAUAGCUGGUUUGAGAGGAUGAUCAGCCACACUGGGACUGAGACACGGCCCAGACUCCUACGGGAGGCAGCAGUGGGGAAUCUUAGACAGUGGGGGCAACCCUGAUCUAGCCAUGCCGCGUGAGUGAUGAAGGCCUUAGGGUUGUAAAGCUCUUUCAGCUGGGAAGAUAAUGACGGUACCAGCAGAAGAAGCCCCGGCUAACUCCGUG
RNAcentral lists this ribosomal RNA (433 nucleotides) under uncultured bacterium. RNAcentral's name for it is "partial 16S ribosomal RNA". It matches the Rfam family "Bacterial small subunit ribosomal RNA", at positions 29 to 507 of the family's 1533-position model. The record is from RNAcentral.